UACGUAGGGUGCGAGCGUUAAUCGGAAUUACUGGGCGUAAAGCGUGCGCAGGCGGUUUUGUAAGACAGAUGUGAAAUCCCCGGGCUUAACCUGGGAACUGCAUUUGUGACUGCAUCGCUGGAGUGCGGCAGAGGGGGAUGGAAUUCCGCGUGUAGCAGUGAAAUGCGUAGAUAUGCGGAGGAACACCGAUGGCGAAGGCAAUCCCCUGGGCCUGCACUGACGCUCAUGCACGAAAGCGUGGGGAGCAAACAGG
This 253-nucleotide ribosomal RNA is filed under the name uncultured bacterium. Its description in RNAcentral is "partial 16S ribosomal RNA". It matches the Rfam family "Bacterial small subunit ribosomal RNA", at positions 524 to 776 of the family's 1533-position model. The record is from RNAcentral.